This 399-nucleotide ribosomal RNA is filed under the name uncultured bacterium. Its description in RNAcentral is "bacterial SSU rRNA". It matches the Rfam family "Bacterial small subunit ribosomal RNA", at positions 355 to 771 of the family's 1533-position model. The record is from RNAcentral.
UGGGGAAUAUUGGACAAUGGGGGCAACCCUGAUCCAGCCAUGCCGCGUGUGUGAAGAAGGCCUUAGGGUUGUAAAACACUUUCAGCGGGGAAGAUGAUGACGGUACCCGCAGAAGAAGCCCCGGCUAACUCCGUGCCAGCAGCCGCGGUAAUACGGAGGGGGCUAGCGUUGUUCGGAAUUACUGGGCGUAAAGGGCGUGUAGGCGGCUUGCCAAGUCAGGCGUGAAAGCCCCGGGCUUAACCUGGGAACUGCGUUUGGGACUGGCAGGCUAGAGGUUGGAAGAGGAGAGUGGAAUUCCCAGUGUAGAGGUGAAAUUCGUAGAUAUUGGGAAGAACACCGGUGGCGAAGGCGGCUCUCUGGUCCACACCUGACGCUGAGGCGCGAAAGCGUGGGGAGCAA